Molecule: long non-coding RNA, 832 nt
Filed under: Numida meleagris (helmeted guineafowl)
Lineage: Eukaryota; Metazoa; Chordata; Aves; Galliformes; Numididae
Description: lncRNA (ENSNMEG00000000560.1)
Source: RNAcentral
CUUCAGCUAACUGAAACAGAAUUUCCCUCUUUUUCAGUUAGUUAAGUCAGCGACUUUCGGAGAUAAUCACUUCCUUUGUACACAUUUUCAUCAGCCUCCUAACAAAUGCAUUUCUAUCUCCCCUGCUCCAGUUUGCUGCCAUAUGUAAUCUCCAUCCAUUAGAGCAGAGUGAUGGUAAUUGUGCACUCUCACCUUCACAUGGCAAUUAUCAUAAAUAUCUUUCCACUUCUUCUCUCCAUUACAGCCAUAUUUGGUGGCUACUGCACACAUUCUCCUUAAAGAAACUUAUGCGUCAUAAUAUUCUACUAUGCAAAUUACAUAAGUAAUAGCCUAGCUGUAAAGUUUUAAAACAAUAUGCCUUUUAUGAAGGAGCAAUCACUGGUUGCUUAACUUAUUCCCUCUGUUAUGGAAAAAGGAGAAGGGUAAACUUGAGAGAUUAGUACGGAGCGAAAUAGGGCUCAACAGAUGUUCAUGCCUCCAUGGGAACAUGCUGUCUUGGAAUGGUACAGAUGGCAAUCCAAACUUAAGGCUGAGGAUGGAACACAAUCAUUUAGAAGAAACUACUCCAUGCGCUCCUCAGAUUUUUCUCCUCCUAGUGCACUCACAGCAUAACAUUCCAAGUUUUUUUUUUUUUUAAAUAGAUCUUUUAAACAACAUUGACAUUGCCUUGUUUCCAGAUUUAUCCUGAAUGAAGACUCGUGUCCACAGUUAGCACUGGUGCUUUCCAGUACUGGGGCAACCACAAAUUAACACAAAAUAGCAUCCUUUCCUGCUGUUCAAACAUGUGCAAACAUGCAAACAUAAAGCCCUUGAGAAGAAAGGCAAACUCUGC